GAUGAACGCUGGCGGCGUGCCUAAUACAUGCAAGUCGAACGCAUUGUGGUUGAAAUGAUAUGAGGAACUUGUUCAGAUUUGAUUUUCAACAUUGCAAUGAGUGGCGAACGGGUGAGUAACACGUGGGAAACCUACCUCUUAGCAGGGGAUAACAUUUGGAAACAAAUGCUAAUACCGUAUAAUAAUUAAAACCGCAUGGUUUUAGUUUAAAAGAUGGUCUUGCUAUCACUAAGAGAUGGUCCCGCGGUGUAUUAGUUAGUUGGUGAGGUGAUGGCUCACCAAGACAAUGAUACAUAGCCGAGUUGAGAGACUGACCGGCCACAAUGGGACUGAGACACGGCCCAUACUCCUACGGGAGCAGCAGUAGGGAAUCUUCCACAAUGGACGAAAGUCUGAUGGAGCAACGCCGCGUGUGUGAUGAAGGGUUUCGGCUCGUAAACACUGUUGUAAGAGAAGAAUGACAUUGAGAGUAACUGUUCAA
This 481-nucleotide ribosomal RNA is filed under the name uncultured bacterium. Its description in RNAcentral is "bacterial SSU rRNA". It matches the Rfam family "Bacterial small subunit ribosomal RNA", at positions 28 to 472 of the family's 1533-position model. The record is from RNAcentral.